ACAAAUCAUGAUGCUGCUUAGUUUUGGUGAUCCGAUGAGAAUUAGCAUAUUAAGCCAUAACAUAGCAGCUAUCUCACAGCUGAAUAGCGCCAUCUGCUAUGUUGUAGCUUAUCACUCCAAACUAUUACCAAGACACGAGCUGGGCUAUUCGUAAUAGCAAUUCAUUGAAAGCGCUUAGCAAUAAGAGAGACCAGGGAGGUAUUUUAGCUCUCACACUAUGUUAAGCAAGUUUUCUAACCAAAGCCAAGUGUUGGCUGCCCCUUCGUCAAUUGCCGACUCCUGUGGCCUCAUCUCUGGCAGGCCACCUGGCUGAUGCCGCACGGUACAUGUUCAUCUCUAAUACUUUUGUCUUUAUUGUCAUAGUACAGUUGCAUUUCGCAGAGAGAAAUGUGUUUUGAAGUUUUUUGCUCUCCCCAGUCUGCAAAGUGCUCUUGCAUAGGCACUUUUUGAGAGUCUGGACAAGCAAGAGUGUGUAUAUUCUUUUGACAUAUUAUGUACACUUGGUUGAUUGUGAUAUAUUCACAGCCACUGCUGCCAGAUCAUCUUAUAAGUUUGUGUAUUAAUGGUUGUCUUGGUCUAGUUAUUCUAUUACAGUUUAUAUAGCAUCAUGAUGGAAUAGUGUCACUCUGCCUCAAAUAUUUUGCAUUAUGGCUACCUUUAUUCCAGUAGAACCCUCAAACAAGUGAACACCUUAAUUCACUUCAUUUCAAAAUAUGUCCACUGUAAAAGCUGCAGCAGUUCCACGACAUAUAACAUUUGUAUGGGAGGAUGCCCAGCAUACAUACUGCAGCAACUAAUGAUUAUUUAUACAUUUUAUAGUGUCACAAAGCAACACCGGGGCUAUGAGAGAUGCCUUGGUGGAGGGCUUAGAAAUAAUUUUGAGCUACCUGGAGUACUUUGACAUGCACCUAAAUAUAGUUACACAUGCAUUUUAGCAUUUCAACUCCAUCUGAAUGCAGUUGGGAGAGCCUGGAGUUGAAAGCACAACCUCAGGCUCAGCAGCACAACACAAUAGCCGCUCAGCCGACGUGGCAAGUCGCAGCAGAUAUGCCUUCAGGUGGACAAAAAAGCAGCAGGACAACUUUAUGGAAUUCAAGUUGCUCACAGCAGAAAUUGUGAACUCUGAUGAAAUGUUUUCUACUGAUUUGUGAUUCCUGCAAUAAUGCUUGAUGACGCUGUGGGACCUUAUUGAAUAAAGAAUCGGAGUGCCUCAUAAUCAGAUAGUGGUUUUGGUACAUAGAA
RNA transcript from Dermacentor andersoni, 1242 nucleotides. RefSeq lists it as uncharacterized. The record is from RefSeq and is a predicted model, not a curated record. NCBI's taxonomy places the organism in Eukaryota, Metazoa, Arthropoda, Arachnida, Ixodida, Ixodidae.